Molecule: microRNA precursor, 53 nt
Filed under: Marmota monax (woodchuck)
Lineage: Eukaryota; Metazoa; Chordata; Mammalia; Rodentia; Sciuridae
Source: RNAcentral
AUUUCAGUAUAAGUACAUCCCAAUACAAUAUUUGGGUUGUAUUUACACUAAAG